GCUGCACGCACAGUAGGUGGCGGUAAUGCACACACAAGGUUGCUUGCCAACCGCCAUAAAAAUCAAAAGAAGAAGAAGAAGAAGGAGAAGAAGAAGAAGAAGACUGCACGCAUGCACAAUUGAAGCUGCUCCGUGAGACAAAGAAGGACGAAGGCUAACUACUUCCAGAAUCCCGAUUUUAAAGCAAUUUGGUGCGCCAUCCAUUCAUCACAAGUUGGCUGUUAUAAAGUUUCCAAACUGACCAAAGACCAACGAAUGACUUCUGAAGAAGGGUGGAUUUAUUUGUAGUUUAGUUAAACAAUAAUUUGCCCCGUCAGUGAUAUGGUUUGAAUGCUGCCUGAACGUUCCGAAUUUGGCAGACAUGGUGAGGACAAUGCUGAGGAAAAUUGCCACAAACAAAGUCCUGGAGCAGCUUGGCCUCCGUGGAAAGUCAGGAAAAGUGGCGUUUGAGGACUUGCCCCUUUACAGAAUAAUAAAUAAGGCAUGCAGGGGUGUUUACAAGCAGAUGACCACAGCUGAAGUGGAUUGUGAGCUUGGAGAGGUCCUGAAACUGGCCACUUUUCGAAAGGGAGGUUCAAAAUUUGAGGAGAAGAGGAGGAAUUAAGAGGGAGGACAAAAAAGGAAAAAGAAACAAGCAAAAGAACAGAGUGAGAUGAGAGGAUUUGGGUUUCCCUGCUUGGGCUGCUGCCCCCGCGACCCGACCUCGGAUAAGCGGAAGAAGAUGGAUGGAUGGAUGGAUGGAUUUACUUCCAGGAAGAGAACCAAGAAGGGGCAGGAUACACUGACGCGCACGACCAAGACCACUGCAUUCCAUUCCAUUUGUAUUAUAGUUAUCACUAAUAAAGAAUUAUUUCUGUUGAAAUCACUAUCACUAAUAAAGAAUUAAUUCUG
Entelurus aequoreus (snake pipefish) is the source of this 891-nucleotide long non-coding RNA. RefSeq lists it as uncharacterized. The transcript is spliced from 5 exons. The record is from RefSeq and is a predicted model, not a curated record. NCBI's taxonomy places the organism in Eukaryota, Metazoa, Chordata, Actinopteri, Syngnathiformes, Syngnathidae.